GACGAAGGUGGCAAGCGUUGUUCGGAAUCACUGGGCUUAAAGCGCACGUAGGCGGCCCUUCAAGCGUCUUGUGAAAUCCCCCGGCUCAACCGGGGAAUGGCUGGGCGAACUGAAGGGCUUGAGGCAGGUAUGGGCAGGUGGAACUCUUGGUGGAGCGGUGGAAUGCGUAGAUAUCAAGAGGAACGCCGGUGGUGAAGACGACCUGCUGGGCCUGUUCUGACGCUGAGGUGAGAAAGCCAGGGGAGCAAACGGG
Molecule: ribosomal RNA, 253 nt
Filed under: uncultured bacterium
Lineage: Bacteria
Description: partial 16S ribosomal RNA
Rfam family: Bacterial small subunit ribosomal RNA
Source: RNAcentral